GUUAGGAAUAUUGGGCAAUGGAGGAAACUCUGACCCAGCAACGCCGCGUGAAGGAUGAAGGUUUUCGGAUUGUAAACUUCUGUUCUAUGGGAAAAAACAAAUGAUGGUACCAUAGGAGAAAGCCACGGCUAACUACGUGCCAGCAGCCGCGGUAAUACGUAGGUGGCAAGCGUUGUUCGGAAUGACUGGGCGUAAAGGGAGCGUAGGUUGUUUUUUAAGUUAAAUGUGAAAGCCCGGGGCUUAACUCCGGAAUGCCAUUUAAUACUGGAAGACUAGAGUGCAGGAGGGGUGAGCGGAAUUCCUAGUGUAGCGGUGGAAUGCGUAGAUAUUAGGAAGAACACCAGAGGCGAAGGCGGCUCACUGGACUGUUACUGACACUGAGGCUCGAAAGCGUGGGGAGCAAACAGGAUUAGAAACCCGAGUAGUCC
Molecule: ribosomal RNA, 428 nt
Filed under: uncultured bacterium
Lineage: Bacteria
Description: partial 16S ribosomal RNA
Rfam family: Bacterial small subunit ribosomal RNA
Source: RNAcentral